Molecule: ribosomal RNA, 397 nt
Filed under: uncultured bacterium
Lineage: Bacteria
Description: partial 16S ribosomal RNA
Rfam family: Bacterial small subunit ribosomal RNA
Source: RNAcentral
AUACGUAGGUGACAAGCGUUAUCCGGAUUUACUGGGCGUAGAGGGCGUGUAGGCGGUCUUGCAAGUCAGAAGUGAAAUUCCUGAGCUCAACUCGGGCGCUGCUUCUGAAACUGCAGGACUUGAGUGCUGGAGGGGAUAGCGGAAUUCCUAGUGGAGCGGUAAAAUGCGCAGAUAUUAGGAAGAACACCGGUGGCGAAGGCGGCUAUCUGGACAGUAACUGACGCGGAGGCGCGAAAGCGUGGGGAGCAAACAGGAUUAGAUACCCUGUUAGUCCACGCCGUAAACGAUGAAUACUAGGUGUAGGGGGUAUCGACUCCCUCUGUGCCGCAGUUAACACAAUAAGUAUUCCGCCUGGGGAGUACGGCCGCAAGGUUGAAACUCAAAUGAAUUGACGGGG